Molecule: ribosomal RNA, 253 nt
Filed under: uncultured bacterium
Lineage: Bacteria
Description: partial 16S ribosomal RNA
Rfam family: Bacterial small subunit ribosomal RNA
Source: RNAcentral
UACGGAGGAUGCAAGCGUUAUCCGGACUGAUUGGGCGUAAAGCGUCCGCAGGUGGCUGUGUAAGUCUGCUGUCAAAGAGCGAAGCUCAACUUCGUAAAGGCAGUGGAAACUACACGGCUAGAGUGCGUUCGGGGCAGAGGGAAUUCCUGGUGUAGCGGUGAAAUGCGUAGAGAUCAGGAAGAACACCGGUGGCGAAGGCGCUCUGCUAGGCCGCAACUGACACUGAGGGACGAAAGCUAGGGGAGCGAAUGGG